RNAcentral lists this ribosomal RNA (461 nucleotides) under Podisma carpetana ignatii. RNAcentral's name for it is "partial 16S ribosomal RNA". It matches the Rfam family "Bacterial large subunit ribosomal RNA", at positions 1919 to 2595 of the family's 2925-position model. The record is from RNAcentral. Lineage: Eukaryota; Metazoa; Arthropoda; Insecta; Orthoptera; Acrididae.
AGUUUUAAAGAGCCGCGGUAUUUUGACCGUGCAAAGGUAGCAUAAUCAUUAGUCUCUUAAUUAGGGGCUGGUAUGAAUGGUUUGACGAGAAAUCAUCUGUCUCUUAUUAAAUUAUGGAAUUUAACUUUUAAGUUAAAAGGCUUAAAUUUUUCUUAAAGACGAGAAGACCCUAUAGAGCUUAACAUUUUAUUUUAAUAUAAUUUUUGGUUGAUUUUUUUAUAUUUAAAGAUAAUGUUUUGUUGGGGUGACAUGAAGAAUAAAUAAACUCUUCAUAAUAAAAUCAUUAAUUUAUGUUUAUAUGAUCCAUAAUUUAUGAUCAUAAGAUUUAGUUACCUUAGGGAUAACAGCGUAAUUAUUUUUAAGAGCUCAUAUCGACAAAAUAGAUUGCGACCUCGAUGUUGGAUUAAGAAUAGUUUUGGGUGCAGGAGCCCAAUAAUUAGGUCUGUUCGACCUUUAAAUUC